This is a long non-coding RNA of Tarenaya hassleriana, 2506 nucleotides long. RefSeq lists it as uncharacterized. The transcript has 4 exons. NCBI's taxonomy places the organism in Eukaryota, Viridiplantae, Streptophyta, Magnoliopsida, Brassicales, Cleomaceae. The record is from RefSeq and is a predicted model, not a curated record.
GGCAAAAGAUUAGUGUAUUGGUUCAUGGCGAAUGGAUACGCAUCAUCGUCGUGAGAAGCGAGGAAAAAAAUAACAUGUCAACAAAAACCUUGUUGAACUGAGUUGAGCAUGAAAACGGUCAAUUUUUGGCGGAGGUCCGUUUCGGAUUAGCGGUAACCGUGAUUUUGAUUUGAUUAAAUCCCGGCUUGCGGAGAUUUCGCGAGUCCGAUCAUGGCGUCGGUAUGCAUUAACGAGGCGUUUGAACGACAAAGAGCUCAGAUGGGUGUUGUCGAGGUUGGACAGCGACAGCGACAGCGACAGCGACAAGGACAAGGAGGUGGUCGGUCUGGUUUGCGAGACGAAGAAUCUCAAGGCUCGUGCGGAUUCUGACUUCUAUGCCAUCGCCGAUGGAUUCAAGUGCUUGUAGUCCACAAAUGCGGGAAUGUGAAGGUGACUGUUUUGGCUGCAAGUUCUUACCUUUCUGUGUUAAUGGAUGGUAAUUUGCAAUUUCUAGACUGAAGCUAUUGUUUGGGUUUUUGGGUCAGUGCUGUAUAGUAGUAUAAUGCUGUCUCUGUGGGUUAGGGUUACUGCCAAUGAUUUGGGUAUAGAACGAAAUUCUCCAAUCCUUCUAAGGUUGCAAGUCAUUGGCUUCAAGUGGUGGUGUUCAAAUUUGAGAUUUGACAUAUACCAUAACCUUUGGUUGUCUUGGUGAUGAUCAUAUUCGUGAGAGCCGGUUAGAUAAUUCAACCUUAGUGGGGGGUUUUCUUGUUUGAAUCCUACCUAGGCGAUUAUUUUGAGUAGGCACUCUAUUUUUCCCUUCAGGUAUGGAUGUGUUCUUGGUUUGAGUUGUUAAGUCUGAUGAUGUGCUAGUGUUUUUGAAGAGUUUCUCUGUCCUAACCUGACCAUCACACCCUUUUCUUUUCUACAAUCUGGAAGUUCAUUGUUUCUUUGGCCCAAGUACAUUUCCGAGAGUUUGGGUUGGAAAGGAGCUUUUGCUCUGUUCCUUGCCAGUUGAACCACUCAAUCUUAGUUCAUCACACCUCUUUUUAGGCAUAACUAGAUAGCAUAGUUAAUCAAAGUAUUAUCGAUAUGUAAAGCAGCAUGGAGUCAUCUGUGUUGAUAGUGGAAUGGAAUGAUCCUAUGCUUUGAUUUCUAAUCUUAAUUGGGUUUUGCCAAGGUGACAGAAAAAGGAUUUUGGCAACGUUUGACCAUCUAGUUUAUGGGUAUAUGCCAUUUCCUUUUAUAUUUAUAAAGCCAAAGAGAACAAAAAAAAAUUGUAAGCUGGUUGGUAUUGCUUCCUUCAAUAUUUUGGCUGGCUGCUGUAAUUUUGGUUAGGGUAACUUUGGUUUUGCUUAACUGUUUUGAGGGGUGUUACACAUUCUGGGUUGGAACCAAUUGGAUCUAGUCUCUCUUAUCUUCAGUUUUUGAAUGUAUCCUACUGUGUAUAGCUCACGGAUAAAGGAUUAUCCGAUGUUGCAGAAGGCUGUCGUGGCCUGAGGACUUUGCAAUUUUAUCGGGUGCCAAUUUCUCAGAGACAAAUUAUUAAUCGCUCUCUGAGAAUUGCUGUGAUUUACAAGCUCUUGGACUUCAAAAUAUCAGCAAUAUUACUGAUUCAGACCUGAGUGAUCUUGAAAAAGGAUGUCUGAAGAUAAAAUUCUUAGCUAUCAGAUGCAGUAAACUCGGAGAUGCAGGGGUGUUAGUUUUACAAAGUUGAGGGUGAAUCUGUAUUAUCUUUGGCGAAUUUUGCAAGAAUUUGGAAACUCUAACAGCUAAUGGUUGCCGCAUAUCUCUAACGUAUCUAAAAUAUUGGCCGCUUACUCCUGUAGAGACAACCUCAAGAACCUAAAUAUGGGUAGGUGUCUGAAUAUAACUGACUCUUCCAUAAGCUGCAUCCUCACUCGGUGCAAAAACUUGGAGGCUCUUGAUAUCUGUGGCUGUGAAGAUAUCACAGAUGCCGCUUUUCCAGUAAGGCAUCUUCCACAUGUGAAGGAAAGAACAUGGGAGGAAGCUGGUCUGGUUUUCCCAAAAGGUCGUAAGAUAAAAUUUUCUGGGAAGUUCAAUCGAACCAGAUGUUGUUGCUUCCGUGAAACUCUCUGAUUCCAACCUUGUGAUGGGAGAAACAGGACUGUUUACUUCUUCUUCUUUUUAAGCCUGGCAACGGUGGUGCUCUUCAGAUUAAAAGGUGCUUGUGAAUCGACUCGAAUGGCCUUAAGCACUCAAGAACUGUUGGAUUUGUACUUGGAUUGACAAUGGUGGUGCGGAACCAGGAUAAAAGAACAGCUUAUAUGUUGAGUUCCUGUUCUUGCAUGAGCAGUGUUUACAGUGGAAAAGAAAUGCUCUGAGACAGCGCCUGCUGAAGAGAGUUGAAAGCUUUCUGGUGGCUCAAGAAUCCCAUGAACCAAAAGUCGAAAUCAUCGACCGUGACUACUUCCAGAAAUCUUGAUCGAUCUUUCGCUGCAGAAGGCGAUCUUCUUGGACGAGAUGAAGAGAAGACCCGGGAUAGGACCAGACGUCGUUGACAGGUAGC